This 324-nucleotide unclassified non-coding RNA is filed under the name Hevea brasiliensis (rubber tree). The record is from RNAcentral. Lineage: Eukaryota; Viridiplantae; Streptophyta; Magnoliopsida; Malpighiales; Euphorbiaceae.
GAAUUGAGGAAAGUUCAUUUGAAGAGUGGUCGGGAUUUUCCUGAGCCUCAACAUAAGGCAUGUUACUUUGUCAGGUGCAGCAAAUAAGAAAAGUUAAGGGAGGUAGCAAUUUUCAGAUGAAGUCACAUGUUCCAUGUUACUUCACCACUUUUCCCAUACUGGGCACAUUAAAUCUAACAUGGAGUAUACUGCCUGGCAUAAUUUCAAUGCUAACUAGGAUUAAUUUUUAACACCUCACCACUUUUGUACCUUUGUCUUUUUUCUCUUUUAGCCUAUUUUGGGGCAAAUUUUUGGGGACAUGUAUCUUCUCCUUUUAGAGGAGAA